UCAGGACGAACGCUGGCGGCGUGCCUAAUACAUGCAAGUCGAGCGAGCAGAACCAGCAGAUUUACUUCGGUAAUGACGCUGGGGACGCGAGCGGCGGAUGGGUGAGUAACACGUGGGGAACCUGCCCCAUAGUCUAGGAUACCACUUGGAAACAGGUGCUAAUACCGGAUAAUAAAGCAGAUCGCAUGAUCAGCUUAUAAAAGGCGGCGUAAGCUGUCGCUAUGGGAUGGCCCCGCGGUGCAUUAGCUAGUUGGUAAGGUAACGGCUUACCAAGGCAAUGAUGCAUAGCCGAGUUGAGAGACUGAACGGCCACAUUGGGACUGAGACACGGCCCAAACUCCUACGGGAGGCAGCAGUAGGGAAUCUUCCACAAUGGACGCAAGUCUGAUGGAGCAACGCCGCGUGAGUGAAGAAGGUUUUCGGAUCGUAAAGCUCUGUUGUUGGUGAAGAAGGAUAGAGGUAGUAACUGGCCUUUAUUUGACGGUAAUCAACCAGAAAGUCACGGCUAACUACGUGCCAGCAGCCGCGGUAAUACGUAGGUGGCAAGCGUUGUCCGGAUUUAUUGGGCGUAAAGCGAGCGCAGGCGGAAGAAUAAGUCUGAUGUGAAAGCCCUCGGCUUAACCGAGGAAUUGCAUCGGAAACUGUUUUUCUUGAGUGCAGAAGAGGAGAGUGGAACUCCAUGUGUAGCGGUGGAAUGCGUAGAUAUAUGGAAGAACACCAGUGGCGAAGGCGGCUCUCUGGUCUGCAACUGACGCUGAGGCUCGAAAGCAUGGGUAGCGAACAGGAUUAGAUACCCUGGUAGUCCAUGCCGUAAACGAUGAGUGCUAAGUGUUGGGAGGUUUCCGCCUCUCAGUGCUGCAGCUAACGCAUUAAGCACUCCGCCUGGGGAGUACGACCGCAAGGUUGAAACUCAAAGGAAUUGACGGGGGCCCGCACAAGCGGUGGAGCAUGUGGUUUAAUUCGAAGCAACGCGAAGAACCUUACCAGGUCUUGACAUCUAGUGCCAUCCUAAGAGAUUAGGAGUUCCCUUCGGGGACGCUAAGACAGGUGGUGCAUGGCUGUCGUCAGCUCGUGUCGUGAGAUGUUGGGUUAAGUCCCGCAACGAGCGCAACCCUUAUUAUUAGUUGCCAGCAUUAAGUUGGGCACUCUAAUGAGACUGCCGGUGACAAACCGGAGGAAGGUGGGGAUGACGUCAAGUCAUCAUGCCCCUUAUGACCUGGGCUACACACGUGCUACAAUGGGCAGUACAACGAGAAGCGAGCCUGCGAAGGCAAGCGAAUCUCUGAAAGCUGUUCUCAGUUCGGACUGCAGUCUGCAACUCGACUGCACGAAGCUGGAAUCGCUAGUAAUCGCGGAUCAGAACGCCGCGGUGAAUACGUUCCCGGGCCUUGUACACACCGCCCGUCACACCAUGGAAGUCUGCAAUGCCCAAAGCCGGUGGCCUAACCUUCGGGAAGGAGCCGUCUAAGGCAGGGCAGAUGACUGGGGUGAAGUCGUACAGGGAAAAC
This 1508-nucleotide ribosomal RNA is filed under the name Lactobacillus helveticus. RNAcentral describes it as "bacterial SSU rRNA". It matches the Rfam family "Bacterial small subunit ribosomal RNA". Lineage: Bacteria; Bacillati; Bacillota; Bacilli; Lactobacillales; Lactobacillaceae. The record is from RNAcentral.